CGAUGCCACACCAACACCACUCUUAGCUGUUCCAUAUGCCGCUCCCAUACAGGAGAAGACGAGAGCGGCAGCGGCGCCAAGGAAGCCAAAGAAAGGUGCAGUUUCAUCGCCACUGAAACCAGAAGACAUGGUUAAUUAAGGGAUGUAAAAAAAAAAAAAACGGUGUCGUUUGGAUCUGAGAUCGCAGAGAGUGUCUGGAGUAUCGAUCCCUCCUUGAUCUCUCUCUGGUAGUUUGUUUUUG
RNAcentral lists this unclassified non-coding RNA (241 nucleotides) under Hevea brasiliensis (rubber tree). The record is from RNAcentral. Lineage: Eukaryota; Viridiplantae; Streptophyta; Magnoliopsida; Malpighiales; Euphorbiaceae.